Molecule: non-coding RNA, 115 nt
Organism: Podarcis lilfordi (Lilford's wall lizard)
Lineage: Eukaryota; Metazoa; Chordata; Lepidosauria; Squamata; Lacertidae
Source: the annotation of a GenBank genome assembly
ACACACACACACACACACACACACACAGAGGGCUGCAGUGACGAAUGUCCAGAAGUGGCCUUGUACUUCAGAAUGCUGCAGCCCUGUGUGUGUGUGUGUGUGUGUGUGUGUGUGU